Molecule: ribosomal RNA, 274 nt
Filed under: uncultured bacterium
Lineage: Bacteria
Description: partial 16S ribosomal RNA
Rfam family: Bacterial small subunit ribosomal RNA
Source: RNAcentral
AUACGAAGGUCCCAAGCGUUAUUCGGAAUCACUGGGCGUAAAGAGUACGUAGGCGGUUUGGUAAGUCAGGUGUGAAAUCCCGGAGCUCAACUCCGGAACUGCAUCCGAUACUGCCGGACUUGAGUAAUGGAGAGGCAGGUGGAAUUCUCGGUGUAGCAGUGAAAUGCGUGGAUAUCGAGAGGAAGACCAAUGGCGAAGGCAGCCUGCUGGACAUUUACUGACGCUGAGGUACGAAGGCUAGGGGAGCGAAAGGGAUUAGAUACCCCGGUAGUCC